GCAGGUCCUGAGCUCUGGCGGAGUGAUU
This 28-nucleotide small RNA is filed under the name Bombyx mori (domestic silkworm). RNAcentral describes it as "ovarian small RNA-16507". Lineage: Eukaryota; Metazoa; Arthropoda; Insecta; Lepidoptera; Bombycidae. The record is from RNAcentral.